Molecule: long non-coding RNA, 305 nt
Organism: Mauremys reevesii (Reeves's turtle)
Lineage: Eukaryota; Metazoa; Chordata; Testudines; Geoemydidae
Exons: 3
Source: RefSeq, a predicted model, not a curated record
CUGGUUAAAAACCUCUCGCACCCGCCAGUGGCUCACACAACCCCCAGCCCCACCCGAGGCCGAGGCCCCUCUCCCAGGGGAAGUGGUAGCAGAGCUCCACAGUCCCAGGAGGAGACGCAGCCCGAGGGGACGAUGAGGCGUCUGUGGCUGGUGCUGCUGCUGGUUCUGGCGCUGGCCGGGGCAGCCCUGGCUGGGCCCGUCCUGCAGCAGCCGCUGGGCGUGGAGGGUCCCGGCGCGGUGGCAGCGCGUGAUGGGGCGUCGGCCCAGGUGGACGGAGCCCAACAGCAGCCGCUGGGAGUGAGAGU